AAGUAUGGUUGCAAAGCUGAAACUUAAAGGAAUUGACGGAAGGGCACCACCAGGAGUGGAGCUUGCGGCUUAAUUUGACUCAACACGGGAAAUCUCACCCGGCCAGUACAUCAUAAGGAUUGACAGAUUGAAAGCUCUUUCAUGAUUUGAUGAAUGGUGGUGCAUGGCCGUUCUUAGUUCGUGGUGUGAACUGUCUGCUUAAUUGCGAUAACGAGCGAGACUCCGACUAUUAAAUAGCGAGUGGUUUAUUUUGACCAUCACGUUUCUUAAUGGGAUUCGCGGCUUCAAGUCGCAAGAAAUGGAGCAAUAACAGGUCUGUGAUGCCCUUAGAUGUUCGGGGCGGCACGCGUGCUACAAUGGUGGUAACAGCGUGAUUGUCCUCGCCCGACAGGGCUUGGCAAACAGUUGAGAUAAUWUKAUGGCUGGAAUAGAGUGUUGAA
Molecule: ribosomal RNA, 440 nt
Filed under: Aphelenchoides sp. G006
Lineage: Eukaryota; Metazoa; Nematoda; Chromadorea; Rhabditida; Aphelenchoididae
Description: SSU rRNA
Rfam family: Eukaryotic small subunit ribosomal RNA
Source: RNAcentral